This 553-nucleotide ribosomal RNA is filed under the name uncultured freshwater bacterium. RNAcentral's name for it is "bacterial SSU rRNA". It matches the Rfam family "Bacterial small subunit ribosomal RNA", at positions 8 to 607 of the family's 1533-position model. The record is from RNAcentral.
AGAGUUUGAUCCUGGCUCAGAGCGAACGCUGGCGGCAGGCCUAACACAUGCAAGUCGAACGAACUCUUCGGAGUUAGUGGCGGACGGGUGAGUAACACGCGGGAACGUGCCCUUUGGUACGGAAUAACUCAGGGAAACUUGAGCUAAUACCGUAUGUGCCCUUCGGGGGAAAGAUUUAUCGCCAUUGGAGCGGCCCGCGUCUGAUUAGCUAGUUGGUGAGGUAAAGGCUCACCAAGGCGACGAUCAGUAGCUGGUCUGAGAGGAUGACCAGCCACAUUGGGACUGAGACACGGCCCAAACUCCUACGGGAGGCAGCAGUGGGGAAUCUUGCGCAAUGGGCGAAAGCCUGACGCAGCCAUGCCGCGUGGAUGAUGAAGGUCUUAGGAUUGUAAAAUCCUUUCACCGGGGACGAUAAUGACGGUACCCGGAGAAGAAGCCCCGGCUAACUUCGUGCCAGCAGCCGCGGUAAUACGAAGGGGGCUAGCGUUGCUCGGAAUUACUGGGCGUAAAGGGCGCGUAGGCGGACAUUUAAGUCAGGGGUGAAAUCCCAGAG